Molecule: ribosomal RNA, 273 nt
Filed under: uncultured bacterium
Lineage: Bacteria
Description: partial 16S ribosomal RNA
Rfam family: Bacterial small subunit ribosomal RNA
Source: RNAcentral
AUACGGAGGGAGCAAGCGUUAUUCGGAAUCACUGGGCGUAAAGGACGCGUAGGCGGGUUUGUAGUCAGGUGUGAAAUCCUACAGCUCAACUGUAGAACUGCACUUGAAACUACAGACCUAGAGUAUGGAAGGGGCAGAUGGAAUUAGUGGUGUAGGGGUUAAAUCCGUAGAUAUCACUAGGAAUACCGAAAGCGAAGACGAUCUGCUGGGACAUUACUGACGCUGAGGCGUGAAAGCGUGGGGAGCAAACAGGAUUAGAAACCCCGGUAGUCC